Oncorhynchus mykiss (rainbow trout) is the source of this 1634-nucleotide non-coding RNA. The record is from RefSeq and is a predicted model, not a curated record. NCBI's taxonomy places the organism in Eukaryota, Metazoa, Chordata, Actinopteri, Salmoniformes, Salmonidae.
GACUGGUGAUGUAAAUAAGAGCUCAAGCUCAAUAGAUAGGAAGUUGAAUCAUAUCUACAUAUCACUUGUCGCUCCAACAGGUGGAGAAAGAGCAUGAGAGAGACACAGGCUUGUUAUGGGAACGGGUUCAGGAAAAAGUAUAAGACCUGCUCCCUCUGGUUUCAAUCCAGCAAAUUAGUCAAAUUAGAAUCUGGAACCGCUCUUCCCCAAAUGCAUCUGGCUGGCUAGUCUUUUCGUUUCCAUGGCAAUACCAGCGAAGCUUCCUGGAUGGUAGGCAUCAAUAACCACCCAAUCAAGAGUUUAGGCUUAGUGCUAGUGAGGUGCCGCAGGCUCCGGGGCCCGCAUUCACAAAAGGUCUGAGUAGGACUGCUGCUAAAGGAUCCGUUUUGCCUUUUAGAUCAUAAUGCAUACGAUUAUACGGACAGGAGGGACCCUACUCUGAAACACAUUUUUAAUACGGGCCCUGGAUUUACUACACGGAGACUUGAUCCUCAGGCAGCAGCAACCAGUCGUGAACACACGGGGAAGGUGACCAGGCUGUAUGGAAGGAAAAGGAACAGAUGUGGGUCCAGGAUGUCGAAAAUGUCCUCAGUUCAAUGGCUAGGCAACUGUGUGCUUCCCUGGAUAAAUAUCCUCGCCACGAGCCUGGGGAUGGCUCAAACCACUUCUCCCCUUCCUUCCAAGACUGGUUUCCCUCCCGUCAUCCAGCCCUUACUUACAGACAGCUGUAGGUCCUCUACACCCACAGACUGAAGAGCCAUGGAACAUAUUGCUCGGCAGCUAAAAUGGACAAUGGCAGAACGAAGCCUUCAUUAUUGAUUGAUUUGAAAUGUUUAUUGGUGUGAAUCAUCUAGAAACCACCAUAGAUAGUGCUACCACAGAGGAGGAGUCAAAGAUAUUCAGUUAUAUACCAGAGCUCAUGAAAAUACAUUUCUACCCUUGUCUGAAUCUCUCCAUUUCAGGGUAUGCAUUGAAAGCAAAGAGGAACAAAUGGGAUGCAACCGUUCCAAAGCAUGAUGUGUACUCAUCUAUGAUAAGUUGCUGUUUGACAUUCUGGAGAGGUGUAAUCAUAUAAAGACACAGAUGUCCUCCAGGAGUCACACUCUAAUAAAGGAUGAUGAUAAGUCAAACAGAGUCCAGAGUUUACAGUCUGACCUUCUCUGGUCCAAGAGGCUAGAGACCAAUUCUUCCCUCACGCAACCCUCACCUCAAUUAAAUAAACUUGUGAUUUAUCUGAGCUACUCUCUGUUGUAUCUUUGUCUGAAAAUGUUGGAAAUCUGCCAGUGGAAACAGAACACACAUAUCAGUCUGUACACCAAACGUUUAAAAAGAAAGGAAAAAAAGGCAAGUUCGGGUACAUUCCAAUGCCCAUUAACUUUGACCUGCAGACCACUUGACUAAGUAUCCAUUUGAGAAGUUAUUGAUUCUAUUGAAUGCUCUGUGGCUUAGGAGGGAAAUGGGACUGUGUGGUUGGUAGUUGAAUGAUUUCUUGGAAGCAGAUAUGAUUUGGUGUCUAUAUAUAGGGUCUCAACAGACGGAGCAGUGCGACCUGUACUGUGUCAGCUGACUUCCUGGUCCCAAGUCUCCUCGGUCCCCCAAAUGAGAUCCAAGACGCCAUGCUUCCUGGCUGAUUA